UGUUCCUACGGGACGCAGCAGUGAGGAAUAUUGGUCAAUGGGAGAGAUCCUGAACCAGCCAAGCCGCGUGAGGGAAGACGGCCCUAUGGGUUGUAAACCUCUUUUGUCGGAGAACAAAACCCGGGACGUGUCCCGGACUGCGUGUAUCCGAAGAAAAAGCAUCGGCUAACUCCGUGCCAGCAGCCGCGGUAAUACGGAGGAUGCGAGCGUUAUCCGGAUUUAUUGGGUUUAAAGGGUGCGUAGGCGGUCCGUUAAGUCAGCGGUAAAAUCGCGGGGCUCAACCUCGCUCCGCCGUUGAAACUGGC
RNAcentral lists this ribosomal RNA (305 nucleotides) under uncultured bacterium. RNAcentral's name for it is "bacterial SSU rRNA". It matches the Rfam family "Bacterial small subunit ribosomal RNA", at positions 334 to 637 of the family's 1533-position model. The record is from RNAcentral.